This 274-nucleotide ribosomal RNA is filed under the name uncultured bacterium. RNAcentral's name for it is "partial 16S ribosomal RNA". It matches the Rfam family "Bacterial small subunit ribosomal RNA", at positions 523 to 796 of the family's 1533-position model. The record is from RNAcentral.
AUACGGGGGGUGCAAGCGUUAAUCGGAAUUACUGGGCGUAAAGCGCGCGUAGGCGGUUAAAUAAGUUGGAUGUGAAAUCCCCGGGCUCAACCUGGGAACUGCAUUCAAAACUGUUUAACUAGAGUAUGAUAGAGGGCAGUGGAAUUCCAGGUGUAGCGGUGAAAUGCGUAGAUAUCUGGAGGAACAUCAGUGGCGAAGGCGACUGCCUGGAUCAAUACUGACGCUGAGGUGCGAAAGCGUGGGGAGCAAACAGGAUUAGAAACCCCAGUAGUCC